AGCGGAGAAAAGAAACCAACAGGGAUUGCCCCAGUAACGGCGAGUGAAGCGGCAACAGCUCAAAUUUGAAAUCUGGCCCCAGGCCCGAGUUGUAAUUUGCAGAGGAUGCUUUUGGCGCGGUGCCUUCCGAGUUCCCUGGAACGGGACGCCAUAGAGGGUGAGAGCCCCGUACGGUUGGACACCAAGCCUUUGUAAAGCUCCUUCGACGAGUCGAGUAGUUUGGGAAUGCUGCUCUAAAUGGGAGGUACAUUUCUUCUAAAGCUAAAUAUUGGCCAGAGACCGAUAGCGCACAAGUAGAGUGAUCGAAAGAUGAAAAGCACUUUGAAAAGAGGGUUAAACAGCACGUGAAAUUGUUAAAAGGGAAGCGCUUGUGACCAGACUUGCGUCCGGUGAAUCACCCAGCUCUCGCGGCUGGGGCACUUCGCCGGCACAGGCCAGCAUCAGCUUGCCGUCGGGGACAAAAGCUUCAGGAACGUGGCUCCUCUCGGGGAGUGUUAUAGCCUGUUGCACAAUACCCUUCGGCGGGCUGAGGUACGCGCUCCGCAAGGAUGCUGGCGUAAUGGUCAUCAGCGACCCGUCUUGAAACACGGACCAAGGAGUCAACCUUAUGUGCGAGUGUUUGGGUGUUAAACCCCUACGCGUAAUGAAAGUGAACGCAGGUGAGAGCUUCGGCGCAUCAUCGACCGAUCCUGAUGUUCUCGGAUGGAUUUGAGUAAGAGCAUAUAGGGUUGGACCCGAAAGAAGGUGAACUAUGCGUGUGUAGGGUGAAGCCAGAGGAAACUCUGGUGGAGGCUCGCAGCGGUUCUGACGUGCAAAUCGAUCGUCAAACAUGCGCAUGGGGGCGAAAGACUAAUCGAAC
This 859-nucleotide ribosomal RNA is filed under the name Colletotrichum phormii. RNAcentral describes it as "eukaryotic LSU rRNA". It matches the Rfam family "Eukaryotic large subunit ribosomal RNA", at positions 49 to 940 of the family's 3401-position model. The record is from RNAcentral. Lineage: Eukaryota; Fungi; Ascomycota; Sordariomycetes; Glomerellales; Glomerellaceae.